RNAcentral lists this ribosomal RNA (467 nucleotides) under uncultured bacterium. RNAcentral describes it as "partial 16S ribosomal RNA". It matches the Rfam family "Bacterial small subunit ribosomal RNA", at positions 28 to 507 of the family's 1533-position model. The record is from RNAcentral.
GAUGAACGCUGGCGGCGUGCUUAACACAUGCAAGUCGAACGGAAAGGCCUCUGCUUGCAGGGGUACUCGAGUGGCGAACGGGUGAGUAACACGUGGGUGAUCUGCCCUGCACUUCGGGAUAAGCCUGGGAAACUGGGUCUAAUACCGGAUAGGACAAUGGUUUGGAUGCUGUUGUGGAAAGUUUUUCGGUGUGGGAUGAGCUCGCGGCCUAUCAGCUUGUUGGUGGGGUAAUGGCCUACCAAGGCGUCGACGGGUAGCCGGCCUGAGAGGGUGUACGGCCACAUUGGGGCUGAGAGACGACCCAGAGACCUACGGGGGGCAGCAGGGGGGAAUAUUGCGCAAUGGGCGCGAGCCUGAUGCGGCGACGCGGCGUGGGGGAUGACGGCCUUCGGGUUGUAAACUCCUUUCGCUAGGGACGAAGCGUUUUUGUGACGGUACCUGGAGAAGAAGCACCGGCUAACUACGUG